Molecule: ribosomal RNA, 257 nt
Filed under: uncultured bacterium
Lineage: Bacteria
Description: partial 16S ribosomal RNA
Rfam family: Bacterial small subunit ribosomal RNA
Source: RNAcentral
GACGAACGCUGGCGGCGUGCUUAACACAUGCAAGUCGAGCGGUAAGGCCCUUUCGGGGGUACACGAGCGGCGAACGGGUGAGUAACACGUGGGUGACCUGCCCUCAGCUCUGGGAUAAGCCUGGGGAAACCGGGUCGUAAUACCGGAUAUGACUCCAUGGACGCAUGUUGGUGGGGGUGGAAAGCCUUGUGCGGCUGAGGAUGGGGCCCGCGGCCUAUCAGCUUGUUGGUGGGGUGAUGGCCUACCAAGGCGACGAC